UAGGGAAUCUUCGGCAAUGGACGAAAGUCUGACCGAGCAACGCCGCGUGAGUGAAGAAGGUUUUCGGAUCGUAAAACUCUGUUGUUAGAGAAGAACAAGGACGUUAGUAACUGAACGUCCCCUGACGGUAUCUAACCAGAAAGCCACGGCUAACUACGUGCCAGCAGCCGCGGUAAUACGUAGGUGGCAAGCGUUGUCCGGAUUUAUUGGGCGUAAAGCGAGCGCAGGCGGUUUCUUAAGUCUGAUGUGAAAGCCCCCGGCUCAACCGGGGAGGGUCAUUGGAAACUGGGAGACUUGAGUGCAGAAGAGGAGAGUGGAAUUCCAUGUGUAGCGGUGAAAUGCGUAGAUAUAUGGAGGAACACCAGUGGCGAAGGCGGCUCUCUGGUCUGUAACUGACGCUGAGGUUCGAAAGCGUGGGGAGCAAACAGG
RNAcentral lists this ribosomal RNA (429 nucleotides) under Chloroflexota bacterium. Its description in RNAcentral is "Chloroflexi bacterium partial 16S ribosomal RNA". It matches the Rfam family "Bacterial small subunit ribosomal RNA", at positions 355 to 776 of the family's 1533-position model. RNAcentral also lists the same sequence under 1 other name. The record is from RNAcentral. Lineage: Bacteria; Bacillati; Chloroflexota.